RNAcentral lists this ribosomal RNA (324 nucleotides) under Triticum aestivum (bread wheat). RNAcentral's name for it is "partial small subunit ribosomal RNA". Lineage: Eukaryota; Viridiplantae; Streptophyta; Magnoliopsida; Poales; Poaceae. The record is from RNAcentral.
AAACUAGCGAGCCAUGACCGGUUUUUCCAGCAAAGGAGGAAUGCCGCCGGAGAGCUCGGGCAUAUCACCUUUCUGAAGGUGACAGCCGCUUUGCGUAUGUUGGCAUACGGUAUCCCGGCUGAUCUAGUUGAUGAUCACUUAGAUAUGGGUGAGAGCCAAGCCAUCAUGUGUGUCAAGCGCUUUGCAGUGGGAAUUCUGCAAGUGUUUGGCGAGGAGUAUUUGAGAUCUCCCACUGCUGAAGACGCCGUAAGGCUAUUGGCGAUGAACAAAAUGCGCGGCUUUCCUGGCAUGCUUGGCUCAAUAGAUUGCAUGCACUGGAGUUGA